UACAGAGGUGGCAAGCGUUGUUCGGAAUUACUGGGCGUAAAGGGCGCGUAGGCGGGAUGGCAAGUCGGUCGUGAAAUCCCUCGGCUCAACCGAGGAACGUCGAUCGAUACUGCUGUUCUUGAGGAUUGCAGAGGAGACUGGAAUUCCCGGUGUAGCGGUGAAAUGCGUAGAUAUCCGGAGGAAUACCAGUGGCGAAGGCGCUGGGCUGGACGGCUAUUGACGCUGAGGUGCGAAAGCGUGGGGAGCAAACAGG
RNAcentral lists this ribosomal RNA (253 nucleotides) under uncultured bacterium. Its description in RNAcentral is "partial 16S ribosomal RNA". It matches the Rfam family "Bacterial small subunit ribosomal RNA", at positions 524 to 776 of the family's 1533-position model. The record is from RNAcentral.